Molecule: long non-coding RNA, 2209 nt
Organism: Papaver somniferum (opium poppy)
Lineage: Eukaryota; Viridiplantae; Streptophyta; Magnoliopsida; Ranunculales; Papaveraceae
Exons: 8
Source: RefSeq, a predicted model, not a curated record
UCCCGCUCUGUAGAGAACCAUUGUCUUUUUUCCGGCACCUGAUUAUACGAAGAAAAAACUUGUCAAUCAAGAACACCAUUCAUAUAUGGUUCAUUUGUUUGAUUCUCUUCGUUCGAUGAUUUUUGAGUUCGAAGUGGAUUCUAUUCGGAAAACUUUCAAAAACUUGUUUUAGCCGAUUCCUUAUUAAAUUUUCAAUCAAUCUUUAGAUCGGAACUCUGUAUUCCUUUCCAUUCUCAAUAAUUUGAGCUAAAUUUUUUGAUUUUUUUCUUCUUCUAGGGUUCGUGUUUCUCAUUUCUUCACAUCACUUGUGGGUAAUGAAGAAAGAUUCUGUUUAGCUCCUCCUUCUGAGGAGAAGAAGACUCAAACUCCAGAUCACAGUAUUGAAAAUUCAGUAAUCCAACUCUUUCUCCUCACCAUCUUCAAGGUUGAUUCAUAUUGCACAUCUACCUGCUGAUUUGAGCACUCUGUGACAUCUGAUGCACAAGCUAUUCUUGCUGUGUUUGAACAAAGGGGCACAGAAGGAAGACACGAUUAUUUGAUAUGUUGUCUUUCGUACAUAGUACAAUAUGGAAUAUCUUAUUUGGGAAGGAAUGCGAUUUAGACCUUACAGCAGAAACCAUUCAUCACUCUGUGACUGCCAAAUAUGUUAAGUUUAGCCACUGUGUCGGGUAAUCUAGAUAUGGUACAUCUUGAAAUUCCGACCCCAGCUGGGAAAUUGAAAGUUGCUGCUCAUGUACUUGGUGCUAUAAACGCCAUGUGUGCGUCUCUCAGCCACACUUGCUAAGCCGUCAUUAGGCAAAUAAACGACCUCGCCGAUUCAAUACGUGGAUUGAUAGAUACUCCUCUGAUGAAUUUGGAGCCCAACUCUGCAAACUGAGGAAUUUGCUUAAUUGGCUAAGCAACUCUUUGAUGGAUGAAGAGCUUAAAGUCCUGAUGGAGGUUUAUCACCAAGCUACGAAGCUUGUAGUAGAGUUUUUUUUUGUUCUCCCCUGUCUGUGCGUACUAGCUUAUCCCUGUAUCAGUCAUGCAUAAUCGUGACUGUCUCCUGCUAUUUUCUGUUUUCGACUUUACAUGCACCACUGUGGAUUCUUUACGAUGUUUACAUUGUCAAGUGCCAAAGAGAAGUCAAUAGUUGGGCUGCCUCCUCGUCCUGAUAGAAGGCUUCGUCCAGGGAAUUCACAUCUUCAGUGUCACGUGCAGUUUUGAGAAAAACAUGGGAUGCUAUCGCUGUCUUUGAUAAGAGGGAGUUCGAAGAAUGGUUACUUGGAGUUCUGGCCAUUCCGAUUGAUCGUUGGGAAAACAGGUAUCCUGAAGGGUCUAAGACUCUAAGCUUAUCGAUGCAGAUCGUUGGGAAAAAGCUGCGCCUCUGUUAUGGUUGUGUGAAAUUUUUUUUGAAAAGGUUUUUAGAAACAAAGCACUGAAUGCAUCAGUCCAUGUAAUAUCAUGCUGGUGUGAGGAUCUAAUGAGGUCAGCACUUCCAGACGAUGUCUGUCUGCCGCAGGCCGCAGCAAAAUUUUUACAUAUUUCAAUGGUGCAAUUCAGAAGUAUGAAAGGGAACAUAGCAAGCCGCAUGGGACUGUUUACAUCUGUUACUCAGUACAAGACUUGCUAUGCCUUCUUAAAGCUGUUACUGGCCUCGUUUUUGGUACAGACCAAUGCAUAAGGGACGUGGGAGGUUGGUUUGGUGUUAAAUUUGUUCCUUUGUUUGAGGGUACGAUGGCGAAACAGAGGGAAUUCUUAGAAAGUGACUAUUAGUCAGAUUGUGAGUUGAAGGGUCCAUCUGGUACUCUUUACGCGGUUUCAAAUUGGCUCGCUAAAAUGCACUCAUCCAGGGUUGUGAUUUAGUCCUUGGUGAAUGCUAAUCUAUAUCUGCGGGUCUCUCUCUCUUGGAACAAGAAGUUUGGGAUGUCCUACAUAGUGAUUGGUGGUAUGCACAGAUAGUCAUGGUGGUUUAAUGACCAGGACCUUGAAUGAUAUAUCAGGCAAUAAAAUGUCAAGGGUGUGGAGAAGAAGUUGAAGAAGCAGAAGGUUAUCAAUGUUUUUGUUCUAAAUUUUUUGUGUUCUCUGCAAAAUGAUGGUAAUAGUUGUUCAGUAGCAGCAGUAGUAAAAUUGAAUGAAUAUUACUAUUCAUGCAUUAGUCAUGCGGAUUUUACAUACUCUGUAAAUUCUUCCUGUUAUAUAUAGUGCCCAUAGGCAAAACUUAUUCUGA